RNAcentral lists this ribosomal RNA (857 nucleotides) under uncultured bacterium. RNAcentral's name for it is "SSU rRNA". It matches the Rfam family "Bacterial small subunit ribosomal RNA", at positions 524 to 1381 of the family's 1533-position model. The record is from RNAcentral.
UACGGGAGUGGCAAGCGUUAUCCGGAAUUAUUGGGCGUAAAGCGUCCGCAGGCGGUCUUGUAAGUCUGUUGUUAAAGCGUGGAGCUUAACUCCAUUUGAGCAAUGGAAACUGCAAGACUAGAGUGUGGUAGGGGCAGAGGGAAUUCCCGGUGUAGCGGUGAAAUGCGUAGAUAUCGGGAAGAACACCAGUGGCGGAGGCGCUCUGCUGGGCCAUAACUGACGCUCAUGGACGAAAGCCAGGGGAGCGAAAGGGAUUAGAUACCCCUGUAGUCCUGGCCGUAAACGAUGAACACUAGGUGUCGGGGGAAUCGACCCCCUCGGUGUCGUAGCCAACGCGUUAAGUGUUCCGCCUGGGGAGUACGCACGCAAGUGUGAAACUCAAAGGAAUUGACGGGGGCCCGCACAAGCGGUGGAGUAUGUGGUUUAAUUCGAUGCAACGCGAAGAACCUUACCAGGGUUUGACAUCCUGCGAAUCUUUUGGAAACGAGAGAGUGCCUUCGGGAACGCAGUGACAGGUGGUGCAUGGCUGUCGUCAGCUCGUGUCGUGAGAUGUUGGGUUAAGUCCCGCAACGAGCGCAACCCACGUCGUUAGUUGCCAGCAUUUAGUUGGGCACUCUAGCGGGACCGCCGGUGAUAAACCGGAGGAAGGUGUGGAUGACGUCAAGUCAUCAUGCCCCUUACAUCCUGGGCUACACACGUACUACAAUGCUACGGACAAAGGGCAGCAAACUCGCGAGAGCUGGCAAAUCCCAUAAACCGUGGCUCAGUUCAGAUCGUAGGCUGCAACUCGCCUACGUGAAGGAGGAAUCGCUAGUAAUCGCAGGUCAGCAUACUGCGGUGAAUACGUUCCCGGGCCU